GCUGAAUAUGUUGUUAGAACUUUGAACAAAAACGAGCAGUUAGCAGAAAUUAAACUCCUUAGGAUUUCCAUUAAAACCGCGGAACUCCACAGAAAUAAUUUGGAGCAACAACUUAGCUGCAUUUUCACCAACGGCCAGCAACGCACAUUUUCGGGUUAUUUUUUGUUGUAUGAUCACAUGUAUACGUACGUGAGUGGGUUAAAUAUUCACUCGGCCUAAGACACACUCUAUAUGUUUAUCCACACGUUUACCCCCAUGUUACCCACUGAUUAUCUAGUUUUUUACCCGCUGAUGGUUGGCAGGGUAUGUUGCAAAAUAUAUUAAAGUUCACAUAUGGAAUCAAACGGCGGAAUUGAAAGAAGAAGACAUAGCAAGCAGUAUUUGACGACGUAAAUGGUAUUGAUUUUCAUAUGUGUAUGUACAAAUUACGUCCAGAAGCACUUAUAUUUAAGUAAUUUUGUAAAUUGUAGCUCGAAAGUAAAAGAAUUGUUUUUUAGAACUAGAAUGUAUUUUAGGAUUCGUUCCUUAAAUAAAAACUUAAUUGAACAUAGGUAUAGCAAAAAAAGAAAAUUAAAUAAGACAAUAAAUUGAUACUUGAUUACAAAAUAUUCAAUCUUUUUAUUUACAUAAAUGUACAGUGGACCAAUAAAGUUUACAUACACCUAGUUCUAUUAAAUUACGUCACUUUUAUCUGUUAUAACAUGAAUAUAUUUUGUGGUGUUUUUCUAACCAUUUCAAAAGAUGUAUACUUAACAUUACAUUUAGCAAAUCAAAAUAUUUUUUUUUACACAAAUAAAAAAAUUAAUGCUUAAGCUUAAAAUGGGCAUAAUUUAUAUUAAAAAAGUUUACGUACACUAAUGAUUAUUUAUAUAAAUCAAAAGUAAUUACAUUAGUUUCAGCGGUUUUUGGCCUACAUUUUAUUGCUAUUAUUGUCCCUAGACAUCGGUGUAUGCUGCCCACUCAAUUUCUAGUAUUAUUUCCGGAUAUCUUGACCCACUAAGUCCAUGAUCCAGCUUUUUGGCUUUAUUUUGAUGAAAUUCGCUGUCUCCGAAUACGAUUUUCCAAAAAGUUAUAGAUAUUUUGAAUAGGAUUAUUGAACGGUGAUUGGGUUCGACGUCGAGAAGCUGCAAUCACAACAGACAGCCGAAAGAUUUUCUACUCGGCUUGCACUCCUACUCUCUGAGAGCACUCGUCAACAUCUCGAUAUAAGGGAACUGCGGGACGGCAUUUCAAACUCCUUACGGACAGCUGCAACCGAAACCAUUGGUUUUCGGAAAGUGCAAAAGAACAGCUGGUACGACGAGGAGUGCCGUGUCGCAGCGGAGAGAAAACAGGCUGCCUAAAUCGCAACGUUACGAUCGACCACAACACGUGCGGGAUGGGAUAGAUACCAAGAGUUGAAGAGGGAAGCGA
Long non-coding RNA from Bactrocera dorsalis (oriental fruit fly), 1413 nucleotides. RefSeq lists it as uncharacterized. The transcript is spliced from 2 exons. The record is from RefSeq and is a predicted model, not a curated record. NCBI's taxonomy places the organism in Eukaryota, Metazoa, Arthropoda, Insecta, Diptera, Tephritidae.